This 29116-nucleotide long non-coding RNA is filed under the name Triticum aestivum (bread wheat). Its description in RNAcentral is "long non-coding RNA (TAES_LNC020460)". Lineage: Eukaryota; Viridiplantae; Streptophyta; Magnoliopsida; Poales; Poaceae. The record is from RNAcentral.
UUCUCUUUCUCUAUGUACCUUGCUGAUGUCCCAUCUCUCCUAGCGCUACUGCUGCACUUCUUCUGAAGCCCUCUCCUCACACCCGCUGCUACUUCUUUUCUCCCCACACCUCUUGCUGCUGCUCCUAGUAUUUCUGAUCCACAAAUCUGCCAUUCUUCUCCCCCAAACCAAACCUGCUGUUGUUCUCUUUGUGUGUGUGUGUUUGUGUGAUUCAUAAAGAAAUUGUCGGUGGGAACGACACCUAUGGGAUCACAAGAAUCCCUACUACGGUUGCAGGGCGCGGGGUCGUGAGAAGAGCGGAUCAAACAGAUAGCACAUGGUUCGUUUAUCCAGGUUCGGGCCGCGAGGAUGCGUAAAACCCUACUCCUGGUUUGGUGGAUUGUAUAUCUGUGUUCUUGAGCUAGCUAUGGGGCGUGAGGAGCUCCAAAAAGCUGAAUCCUCCUCUUGGUUGCCUGGGGCCUCCUUUUAUAGGAAAGGGGUUGCCACAGUGGCACACAGGAGGUGGAAAGGGUACAGUGAUGUGAGGUUAUCCCUUGCAUUACAUGACAAGGCGCAUUUAAUGCGUCUUGCCUAGGUGUCCUUGCUUUAUCGGGGACGGGGGAGAGCCCUGUCUCGUCCGUCGCCGCUCCCUCUCAAGUCGAAACGCGCCCUGGCCAGCGGCGCCCGCGGUGCCAUGUAGGCAGGCAGGCAGCUGAGGUGGCGCAGUGGUGGGUCUCCAUGAAGAUCCGCAUGCCGCCACGCAGGUGCCUGCCCAGCUGGUUGGGUCGGCAGCUGCAUGCGAACGGCGGUGGAGGUUUGACCGGCGUGGGCCUGAUGGUGGCCCUACGGGUGUUCUUGGCAAGGGCCUUGCCGGGGCCCCGGCAACAGUCUUGCCGUGGCGCCUGCUAUCAUCCCCGGCAAGGCUCUUGCCGGGGGCCUUGUGGUCCUCCUUGGCCGGGAUCCCGCCAAGGAUCAUCAUCUUCUAAAGGGUGUAUCUGAUCUUGAAUGUCUUCACAAAGAUCCGCAUGCCACCACGGGGAUGUCUCCCGAAUCCUUGCCCCAUGGGGACAGUGGACUCAUGUCACAUCCCUAGUUCUGGUAUGACCUAGGCUAGCUAGUCAUGUGUGCAUCACGUUUAAAUUUCAUUUAAAUUUGAAAUGGGGAUUUGUAAAACCCUUAGAAAUCAUUUCUGGAAAUGACCCAGAUAAAAAUUGCUCCAAAAGGGUCCAAGAAAAUGUUCAUGUCUCUCUGAAAAUAUUGGGCAGAGGUAAAAUUUCAAACCAAUAUUUUUAGGAGCUCAUAAAUAUUUAUUUUGGCCAUUUGGAAUUAAUCCAGUAAUUAUUUGCAUUGGAUAAAUAUUUAUAUAUAUAUAUAUAAUAUUGUCCAAUAAUUCUAAAUUUUGGUGAGGGGCUUUGGAAUAAUCCUUUAGGCCCCUGCAAAAAUUUUCAGCAGAAAAUAACUUGAUUUAGUAUCUUUAUUAAAUCAAAACAAAGGUCAGAAAAUAGAAAAGAAAACAAAAUGGAGAAAGCUCACCUGGCCUUACUUGCCUGGCAGCCCAGCUGGCGGCCCAGCUCCUCUAGCCGGCCCAGCCGACUGGCGACACCAGUCGUCGCCUACCUCCUGCCAGGAGGAUGGCGUGCGUGUGCCCGACGCGCGCGAGCAUGCGCCGGCCACCUCCUGCUUCCCCGCUCGCUGCUGGAGGCCCCCGACGACGCCACGCACUUGCCCCGGACCUCUCGCACUCUCUCUCUCGCUCUCCCUCCUCCCCUGGAUCUCUCCCUUUCCUCGCAUCCGAGCGAGCUCGUCACCGCCGAUCGCUGCUGCCGCGGCCACCGUCUCCGCCUCGUCCCUCUGACAUGUCUACGAGCUCUGCGACGUCGUCCUCGUCUUCUCCACCGACCCAGGCAAGCCGGGACGCACCAUAGCGUCCUCAUCGUGCUCGUCUUCGGCCUCGGCCGCCGUGGAUCGCCGCCGUCGAAUUCGCGGCAACCAACGCUUCCCCGAGCCCGCUUCGACGCCCUCUACAACUGCUGUGAGUUCCAUCGUCGUUUGCCCCUUUCCCCUUGCUUCUCGAUCACCGCAGCCGCCAUUUCGACCGAAGCCGUAGCACCUCGCCGCCGGCCAUGGCGCCACUGCGGCCAGGGGCCGAGCCAGCCGCAACUGAGCACGUCACCGUGCUCCUGGUGCCACGAGGGUGCCGCAGAGCCCCUCGGGUGGCCUCCCCGUGCCCCACAGCCGCUUCCGCUUGAAGCCCGUGCUCUGGCCGCCGCCCCGAGCUCCGCUCCGGUGAGCUCCGGCCGUCCCCGCCUCUCCCACUUGCUCCAGAUGAUGCGGACGAGCGCUGGCUCCUCGCCAGUGGUCUCCGCCAUCAAAAUGGCCGCUGGAGGGCGAAAUUCGAGGCCCUCCGCCGCGUCUGGCUCGCCGGCGUCAAGCCGUCGGUGGCUUUGACCCCGCUGACCGUUGACUGGGUGGGCCCAGUUUGACAUCCCCCUUGUGUCACUAACGCGUGGGCCACCCCCCUGACAUUUAGUUAGUAUUAGAUUAGCACUAAUUAACCUAGGUUAGUUACCGAGUUAGUCAUUGACCAGUGGGCCCGGCGCCCACUAAUCCUAAUUAGGCUAAAUAAACCCCUUGUUAACUAACUGAGUCACUGACAUGUGGAUCCCACACGUCAGGUUUGACUCGGACAGCUCCUUUGACCUGCUGACGCAAUGCUGCCGUCAUGCUGACGCAAUAUAUCAUUUUCUGGUAUUAAAAUAAAUCAGGAAAUUCCAGAAAAUGAUAUAAACUUCAAAAAUUCAUAGAAAUUCAACCGUAGCUCAGAUUGAAAUAAUUUAUAUAUGAAAAAUUAUCAGAAAAAUUCAAUCUAUCCAUUUGUACCAUUUUCAUGCAUGACAAACCAUCUAUACAUGCUGUAUAUAUGAAAACACACUUAUGGCAUAUCUAAGAGCUUAUGUUAAAGGUGCAUUUGAAUCUUUAGUUCAAAUGCACUUUAACCAAAUGAAUGCUAGUUGCAUUAGCUCAAACAACAUCACAUACUCAUGCCAUGUUCAUGCAUCAUAAUGUUGCAUAUGCUUGUGUUUGAUUUCCGACACCGUUCCUUCUCGAUAGGUCCUGCUUCGAAAAGUGUUCGAGAGUACCUAUCAGUGGAGCAGUGCCCCCCUGUUGAUCUACCAGGCAAGCAAACCCCCUUGUUCAUUCCGAUACAAUCCUACUCUCUCGCUCCUGCUCUCAUUAUUGCAUUAGGACAACAACGAUUCAACUGCUACUUUAUGCUGCGGUAGUUGAACCCAUACCUCUGCAUGACCUGUCAUUGCCACAGUAAAUAGUUAAAACCCACUAGCAUGUGUAGGAGUUGAUUGAGCCAUGUUGUGUUCUUGCCAUGCCAUGCCUGCUAUUGCUUAGAGUUGUGUCAGGUCUGAUUCAUCGGGAAUGAAUUGGAGUGGUACGAUAUGUUUUGGUGCUGAGAGUUAAGCGUGUGAACACGAUUUGGUAAAGGUAGCGGUGAGAGGCCAUGUAGGAGUACAUGGUGGGUUGUCUCACUGGAACCAUCCUUAAGCACUGAGUUCUGUGUAUGUUGUCCAAUGACUAGCUACUACCACACAUUGGGCUCCGGGCACUCCAAGCUCUCUCGACUUAUUAACAAACUUGAUCUUUUUCCAGGAGUUGCAAUUAGUUUCUGGUGUUUGUAGGUAGUGUUAGUAGUCUACCAAGUGGCACCCGGCCAAGUGGGCUUGGGACAGACUAGGCACAAGUGGCAUGGUGUACGAAGCAUAGAUCCAUCCGGCGAGGUGGGCUUGGGAACCCUGCACACAUUGUUUGGGGCCGUGAGCGACACCCCGGCCGGAUCUCCUUACGGAUGGAACCCGAAUAGGCGAUAAACCUGGACUAGAGUCCUGUGUGGUUAGUCAGGUCGUGGCCGACACCCUCGCCAGGCUUCCGCUUGAAGGUUGCCGAGGUACAUGACGUGUACAUGGUGAUAAGUGGUGAGAGCGUGUGUGAAGAAGUACACCCCUGCAGGGUUAUCAUGAUCUAUUCGAAUAGUCGUGUCCUCGGUUAUGGACUUCUUGGAUGCUUAUGUGGUACAUAGACAACUUGAAGUGGAUACUCUAAAAUGCUCAAGACAAGUGUGAGUGCUAUGGAUGGCCUUCUCGUAGGAAGACGGGAAUGAAUCCAUAGUAGUGUAUUGACGUGGUGAUUAGUGGACUCGUGUGCGCCACCUCAAAAGUGUUACCAGCAGUCGUAGUACAGGAUAGCCACUGAGUCAAAGCUGGCUUGCUGCAACUAAACUCCACAUUACCUUCUUGAUACAAGUGCAGGUAUGAUAGGAUCUGAUGUAAGUCUUGAUGAGUACCUUUGUACUCAUGUUGCUUUAUUUAUGUUUUUGCAGCGGAGACUUCGGUCUUACUAGUUUACGUGGACUUCGACAACUAGCUUGUACCUCAGCUACGAUCUUCAUCAGAUGUUGUAGAUAGUCAGGCACCUCAGCCUUUUUCAUUUGUAGUUGUCUGUACUCAGACAUGUAAUGCUUCCGCUUGUUGCUUGUAUGCUCCGAAUGAUGGGUCAUGUGACCCUUGCUUGUACUUAAUGCUAUGUGGCUCUUUUGGGCCUUUAUCUAUAUGAGUUUGCGUUAUGUUGUGAUGCCAUGUUGUACAUCACAUACUUGCAUGUUACGCGUACGUGUAACGUGUAUUGCUAUGUGUGGGAUCUGACAAUCUGGUUGUUUAUCCUUGGCAGCCUCUCUUAUGGGGAAAUGUAGUCUAGUGCUUCCUUUAGCCAUAGUAGUCCGCUACAGCCCAGUUCACCGGAGUCCUGCUAGCCCAGCACUGCUGCUCAGGACACUUGACUGGCCGGCAUGUGUUUCACUUCGUUCCUGUGUCUGUCCCUUCGGGGAAAUGUCACGCGGUGACUUCCGGAGUCCUAUUAGCCCAGUGCUACAGCCCGGAUUCAUAUGCUGUUGACCGACAUGCUCGAUGUGAUUCAUGUAUGCCUGUCCCCAUAGUUUAGCACCGCUUUGGGUUCACGACUAGCCAUGUUGGCCCGGGUUCUUUGUCAUAUGGAUGCUAGUGACACUAUCAUAUACGUGAGCCAAAAGGCGCAAACGGUCCCGGGCCAGGUAAGGUGGCACCCGUGGGAAUACCGUGCAUGAGGCCGCAAAGUGAUAUGAUGUGUUACAUGCUAGAUCGGUGUGACUUAGGAUCAGGGUCCCGACAGCUUUGGUAUCAGAGCCUGACUGCUUGUAGGAUUUCCAAGCCAACCUGGUCGAAGUUGAGUCUAGAAAUUCUUUAGUUAUGUAAGGGAAUUGAUUGUGGAAGGGAACGUAAGGCUCUUUUUACUACUUAUAUCUCAUGCCCUUCUGAUCUGAGUCAUCCUAUCUUUCCUACGGGGUUAAGGAACUAGGCUUUCUUUUCUGUCUAUCAGGAUCACAUGUUACUACUCCAUAGUCUCUUAGGAUUGGUUGAUCAGAGUCAUAUCCCAGUUCGAGUACCUCUGGUGUAGCCUGUUUAGUAAUAUCUCAGAACCUUGAGUGAUGAUGUUGAGUAUGGUGCUACCCCGUCUUUCGCAGAAUGUCUCAUUCUGAGCAUUUUACUGCCGUUAUGCUGCCGGAAUUGUCCUAGGAGUUUGAGAGAUACUAAAUUUCCUUGUGCUACAUGUUGCAUCCUAUAGUUCUUGUUGACCUCGUCAUUGGUUCCGCUUCUCGGGAUGUCAUUAGUUAACCGAAGUUCUGUUGCUUGUUGCCUGAACCACGGAGGUGGUAGGGAUGAGGAGGAUCCUCCCGACCAACCUUCAUUGGCAGAGUUCAUGAUAGAGAUGGAGAGGAACAAGCGUGAGUCUAACCGCUUGUUGGCACUUAUCGAGGAGAACACCGCACAUCGGUGCAAAGAGUCAGCGACCAUCCAGGAUUUCAUUGAUCUGAAACCACCCACCUUCCAUCAUUCCAUUGAGCCACUCGAUGCAAAUGACUGGCUCCAUAGUAUCACACACAAGCUGCAUUCUGCAAACGUAGCUGAAAGUGACAAGGUCACUUAUGCUGCAUAUCACCUGGAAGGUCCUGCUAGUCUCUGGUGGUAGAACUAUGAGGCUAUGCUUCCAGCUGGUCAAAUUCCUACCUGGAGAGAUUUCACUGAGGCUUUUCGCGAGCAUCACAUUCCUGAAGCCCUCAUCGAUCGCAAGAGAGAACAGUUCUAUAGUUUCACCCAGGGUUAGAUGGCUGUUGAUGCUUACAGUAGAGAGUUUGAGAACCUCGCCCGCUAUGCUACAGAAGAAGUGUCCACAAAUGCCAAGAAGCAGGCUAGGUUCCGGAAGGGUCUCAACCCCAAGUUGCGUCGUGAUCUCCACUUGCAUUGUUGCAAUACAUUCCACGCUCUUGUGAAAAAGGCCAUUAAUGUAGAGACAACUCAACUCACCUACGAGGAAUCUCGUAAGCACACCCGUGAUUUGGGUUCUUCCUCCGGUUCUAGUUCUCAGAAGCGCCGGAUUUGGGUUCCGAACUCCGCUCUUCCACCCGGUUAUACACCAAGGCCUUCUUGUGUGGCACCUCACCCAGUUCAACCAUAUGCUACACCCAUGCCUAUUGGUAGACCACUUGUCAAUGCGGGUCCUUGUCCUACCUCCAAGAUUUGUUACAAGUGCAGAGAGCCAGGCCACAUUGCCCGUAUUUGCACCCAGACCCGUGUUGCUCCACCCCAUCCCGAGAAGUCCGUUGGCCGUGGUAGUAAGCCUUCACACCAGAUGAUCAGUGCCAAGUCAGCUCCCACUGAACUUGGACGUGUGCAUCAUGUCUCAGCUAAAGACGCUCAUGAUGAUCCAGAUGUCGUUCUUGGUACACUCCUUGUCAACUGUCACCCAGCUUCGGUUCUAUUCGAUACCGGGGCAUCUCACUCCUUCAUUUCCGAAAGUUAUGCCCGUUUGCACGACAUGUCAUUUUGUGAUAUGCCCUCCCCACUACUCAUUCAAACUCCUGGAUCCAAGUGGCAAACUUCUAGGAUAAGUUAUGGCAAUGAAAUACAUGUUGACAGACUUGUAUUUCUAGCUUCCUUGAUAUCCCUCAAGUCUUCAGAUAUUAACAUCAUUUUGGGUAUGGACUGGAUGAAAGCUCAUUAUGCCAAGAUUGACUGUUACACCAGGACUGUUCAGCUCACACACCCCUCUGGCAAGGUAGUCACUGUCUCCACCAAAAUUGCAAGGCGUCAACUAUAUUCUCUAAAUGUCAGCCCUCUUCCUGACCUUGAAGAUAUUCCGGUAGUCCACAACUUUCCGGAUGUCUUUCUAGAAGAACUGCCAGGUAUUCCACCUGACAGAGAUGUAGAGUUUGUUAUAGAUCUUAUCCCCGGAACCGCCCCAAUUUCUAGGAGACCUUACAAGAUGGCACCCUUAGAACUAGUCGAGCUUAAGAAACAACUCGAUGAAUCCUUGCAAAAGGGUUUCAUAUGUCCUAGUUCUUCUCCCUGGCUUGCUCCGUCCUCUUCGUCAAGAAGAAGGAUGGUACGGACCGAAUGGUUGUAGAUUAUCGUCCCGUUAAUUUGGUCACGAUAAAGAACAAGUAUCCGCUCCCCAGGAUCAACGAUCUGUAUGAUCAGCUCGCUGGAUCCUCAGUCUUCUCCAAGAUGGAUUUGAGGUUAGGCUACCACUAAAUCAAGAUCAGAAAUGGGGAUAUUCCUAAGAUGGCUUUUGUCACUCGUUAUGGUCAGUACGAGUACACCGUCAUGUCCUUUGGUCUAACCAACGCUCCAGCUACUUUCUCUCGCUUGAUGAACUCGAUCUUCAUGGAGUACUUAGAUAAGUUCGUCAUGGUUUACCUCGAUGAUAUCCUUAUUUACUCGAAGAACGAGGAAGAGCAUGCCGAACAUCUUAGACUUGUGUUAGAAAAACUCAGAGAGCACCACCUUUAUGCCAAGUUCUCCAAGUGCAAAUUUUGGUUGCCAGAAGUGACCUAUCUCAUCCAUGUAAUCUCUGGUAAGGGCAUUGCUAUCAAUCCCGAAAGAGUUCAGGCCGUUCUUGAUUGGACUCUGCCUAAAACAGUUAAGCAAGUUAGGAGUUUCCUUGGUCUAGCCAGUUAUUGUCGCCGAUUCGUUGAUAACUUCUCCAAAGUGGCCAAACCUCUCAUGGAACUUCUCAAGAAAGAUAAAAAGUUUGAGUGGUCCCCACAGUGUGAGCACAGUUUUCAGGAACUGAAAAGAUGCCUAACUUUUGCUCCCAUACUUGUGCCACCGGACUUCACUAAGGACUUUGUUAUCUAUUGUGAUGCCUCACGACAGGGACUAGGUUGCAUUCUUAUGCAAGAUCGCCAUGUGAUUGCCUAUGCAUCUCGACAGUUGCAUCCACAUGAGGAGAAUUAUCCUACACAUGAUCUAGAGCUUGCAGCCGUAGUCUAUGCACUUAAGACAUGGCGACAUUACCUUCUCGGUAAACGUUGCGAGAUUUACACCGAUCACCAGAGUCUCAAGUAUAUCUUCACCCAACCAGAUUUGAACCUUAGGCAAAGACGUUGGUUGGAGUUGAUCUCAGAUUAUGAUUUAGGGAUUACCUACACCCCAGGUAAGGGGAAUGUCAUGGCUGAUGCGCUAAGUCGUAAGUCCUAUUGCAACAAUUUAAUGUUGCAGCAGGGCCAACCACUUCUCCAUGAGGAAUUAUGUAAGCUUAACCUCCACCUUGCUCCUCACGGAUUCCUUUCUACCUUGGUGGCGAAACCUACUCUUGUGGAUCAAAUCAUCUCUACUCAGCAGCAGGAUACGGGAAUUUCCCGGAUCAAGAGAAACAUUAACAAGGGAGUUGGUGGUAGUUUCUCUAUAGAUGAUCGUGGUGUUGUUUUGUUUGAGAGUCGCUUGGUGGUUCCCAAGAAUCAACAUCUUCGACAAUUAAUCCUUAAGGAGGCGCAUGAAUAUCCUCUCACGAUUCAUCCCGGUAGUACUAAGAUGUAUCAGGACCUACGCCAGAGGUUCUGGUGGACUAGGAUGAAGAGAGAAAUUGCUCAAUUUAUUGCUAACUGUGACGUUUGUCAUCGCGUGAAGGCAGAGCAUCAGAGACCUUCUAGCACUCUUCAACCUUUAGCUAUUCCUGAGUGGAAAUGGGAUAAAGUUGGUAUGGACUUCAUCACCGGCUUUCCCAGGACCAAGAGAGGGAAUAAUGCUAUCUUCGUAGUCAUUGAUCGUCUUUCCAAAGUGGCUCACUUCCUACCCGUUCGAGAGAGUAUCACUGCUAGUCAGCUCGCUGACUUAUAUAUUUCUCGAAUAGUAUCACUUCAUGGUGUUCCACUAGAGAUCAAUUCAGACCGUGGUAGUCUUUUCACUUCUCAUUUCUGGGAGAGUUUCCAAACUGCCAUGGGCACCCAUCUUUCCUUCAGUACCGCUUUCCACCCUCAAUCAAGUGGUCAGGUGGAAAGGGUCAACCAGAUUCUUGAAGACAUGCUUAGAGCUUGCCUUAUCUCAUUCGGUAUGGAUUGGGAGAAGUGUCUUCCCUUCGCCGAGUUUGCUUAUAACAACAGCUACCAAACCAGCCUCAAGAAAGCUCCUUUUGAGAUUCUGUAUGGACGAAGAUGUCGAACACCUUUGAACUGGUCAGAAACCGGUGAAAGACAAUUCUUUGGACCGGAUAUGAUCCAGGAGGCAGAUGAGCAAGUUCGCGUCAUUCGUGAGAAUUUGAAAACAACCCAAUCUCGUCAAAAGAGCCAGUAUGACCGUCGUCAUAAGGAAGUGGCUUAUGAAGUUGGCGACAAGGUUUAUCUUCGGGUUACUCCCUUGAAGGGUACCCAUCGUUUCGAUAUCAAAGGCAAGUUGGCUCCUCGUUACAUUGGUCCUUUUCGCAUUCUCGCUAAACGAGGAGAGGUUGCCUACCAGUUGGAGCUACCCCCACAUCUUUCUUGAGUACAUGAUGUCUUCCACGUCUCUCAACUCAGGCGUUGCUUCUCGGUUCAGUGGUCUCAUCAUUCCGAGAGAGAAGCUACUUGGGAGCGUGAAGAUCGUCUUCGACUUGAGUAACCCGCUUCCUUCCUGCCGACUCCUGAAUCUCGGGACGAGAUUCUUCCGAGUGGGGGCGAGUUGUCACAUCCCUAGUUCUGGUAUGACCUAGGCUAGCUAGUCAUGUGUGCAUCACGUUUAAAUUUCAUUUAAAUUUGAAAUGGGGAUUUGUAAAACCCUCAGAAAUCAUUUCUGGAAAUGACCCAGAUAAAAAUUGCUCCAAAAGGGUCCAAGAAAAUGUUCAUGUCUCUCUCUGAAAAUAUUGGGCAGAGGUAAAAUUUCAAACCAAUAUUUUUAGGAGCUCAUAAAUAUUUAUUUUGGCCAUUUGGAAUUAAUCCAGUAAUUAUUUGCGUUGGAUAAAUAUUUAUAUAUAUAUAUAAUAUUGUCCAAUAAUUCUGAAUUUUGGUGAGGGGCUUUGGAAUAAUCCUUUAGGCCCUUGCAAAAAUUUCCAGAAGAAAAUAACUUGAUUUAGUAUUUUUAUUAAAUCAAAACAAAGGUCAGAAAAUAGAAAAGAAAACAGAAUGGAGAAAGCUCACCUAGCCUUACUUGCCUGGCAGCCCAGCUGGCGGCCCAGCUCCUCUAGCCGGCCCAGCCAACUAGCAACGCCAGUCGUCGCCUACCUCCUGCCAGGAGGACGGCGCGCAUGUGCCCAACGCGCGCGAGCACGCGCCGGCCACCUCCUGCUUCCCCGCUCGCUGCUGGAGGCCCCCGACGACGCCACACACUUCCCCCGGACCUCUCGCACUCUCUCUCGCUCUCCCUCCUCCCCUGGAUCUCUCCCUUUCCUCGCAUCCGAGCGAGCUCGUCACCGCCGAUCGCUGCUGCCGCGGCCACUGUCUCCGCCUCGUCCCUCUGACGUGUCUACGAGCUCUGCGACAUCGUCCUCGUCUUCUCCACCGACCCAGGCAAGCCGGGAUGCAACGUAGCGUCCUCAUCACGCUCGUCUUCGGCCUCGACCGCCGUGGAUCGCCACCAUCGAAUUUGUGGCAACCAACGCUUCCCCGAGCCCGCUUCGACGCCCUCUGCGACCGCUGUGAGCUCCAUCGUCGUUUGCCCCUUUUCCCCUUGCUUCUCGAUCACCGCAGCCGCCGUUUCGACCGAAGCCGUAGCACCUCGCCGCCGGCCAUGGCGCCACCGCGGCCAAGGGCCGAGCCAGCCGCAACUGAGCACGUCACCGUGCUCCUGGUGCCACGAGGGUGCCGCAGAGCCCCUCGGGUGGCCUCCCCGUGCCCCACAGCCGCUUCUGCUUGAAGCCCGUACUCCGGCCGCCGCCCCGAGCUCCGCUCCGGCGAGCUCCGGCCGUCGCCGCCUCUCCCACUUGCUCCGAAUGACACGGACGAGCGCUGUCUCCUCGCCAGUGGUCUCCGCCAUCCAAAUGGUCACCGGAGGGCGAAAUCCGAGGCCCUCCGCCAUGUCUGGCUCGCCGGCGUCAAGCCGCCAGUGGCUUUGAUGCCGCUGACCGUUGACUGGGUGGGCCCAGUUUGACCUCCCCCUUGUGUCAUUGACGCGUGGGACACCCCCCUGACAUUUAGUUAGUAUUAGAUUAUCACUAAUUAACCUAGGUUAGUUACCUAGUUUGUCACUACCAGUGGGCCCGGCGCCCACUAAUCCUAAUUAGGCUAAAUAAACCCCGUGUUAACUAACUGAGUCACUGACGUGUGGAUCCCACACGUCAGGUUUGACUCGGACAGCUCCUUUGACCUGCUGACGCAAUGCUGCUGUCAUGCUGACGCAACAUAUCAUUUUUUUGGUAUUAAAAUAAAUCAGGAAAUUCCCGAAAAUGAUAUAAACUUCAAAAAUUCAUAGAAAUUCAACCGUAGCUCAGAUUGAAAUAAUUUAUAUAUGAAAAAUUAUCAGAAAAAUUCAAUCUAUCCAUCUGUACCAUUUUCAUGCAUGACAAACCAUCUAUACAUGCUGUAUAUAUGAAAACACACUUAUGGCAUAUCUAAGAGCUUAUGUUAAAGGUGCAUUUGAAUCUUUAGUUCAAAUGGACUUUAACCAAAUGAAUGCUAGUUGCAUUAGCUCAAACAACAUCACAUACUCAUGCCAUGUUCAUGCAUCAUAAUGUUGCAUAUGCUUGUGUUUGAUUUCUGGCACCGUUCCUUCUCGAUAGGACAACAACGAUUCAACUGCUACUUUAUGCUGCGGUAGUUGAACCCAUUCCUCUGCAUGACCUGUCAUUGCCACAGUAAAUAGUUAAAACCCACUAGCAUGUGUAGGAGUUGAUUGAGACAUGUUGUGUUCUUGCCAUGCCAUGCCUUCUAUUGCUUAGAGUUGUGUCACGUCUGAUUCAUCGGGAAUGAAUUGGAGUGGUACGAUAUGUUCUGGUGCUGAGAGUUAAGCGUGUGAACACGAUUUGGUAAAGGUAGCGAUGAGAGGCCAUGUAGGAGUACAUGGUGGGUUGUCUCACUGGAACCGUCCUUAAGCACCGAGUUCUGUGUAUGUUGUCCAAUGACUAGAUACUACCACACAUUGGGCUCCGGGCACUCCAAGCUCUCUCGACUUAUUAACCAACUUGAUCUUUGUCCAGGAGUUGCAAUUAGUUUCUGGUGUUUGUAGGUAGUGUUAGUAGUCUACCAAGUGGCACCCGGCCAGGUGGGCUUGGGACAGACUAGGCACAAGUGGCACGGUGUACCAAGCGUAGAUCCAUCUGGCGAGGUGGGCUUGGGAACCCUGCACACAUCAUUUGGGGCAGUGAGCGACACCCCGUCCGGAUCUCCUUACGGAUGGAACCCGAAUAGGCGAUAAACCUAGACUAGAGUCCUGUGUGGUUAGUCAGGUCGUGGCCGAUACCCUCGCCAGGCUUCCGCUUGAAGGUUGUCGAGGUACAUGACGUGUACAUGGUGAUAAGUGGUGAGAGCGUGUGUGAAGAAGUACACCCCUGUAGGGUUAUCAUGAUCUAUUCGAAUAGCCGUGUCCUCGGUUACGGACUUCUUGGAUGCUUACGUGGUACAUAGACAACUUGAAGUGGAUACUCUAAAAUGCUCAAGACAAGUGUGAGUGCUAUGGAUGGCCUUCUCGUAGGAAGACGGGAAUGAAUCCAUAGUAGUGUAUUGACGUGGUGAUUAGUGGACUCGUGUGCGCCACCUCAAAAGAGUUACCAGCAGUCGUAGUGCAGGAUAGCCACUGAGUCAAAGCUGGCUUGCUGCAACUAAACUCCACAUUACCUUCUCGAUACAAGUGCAGGUAUGAUAGGAUCUGAUGUAAGUCUUGCUGAGUACCUUUGUACUCAUGUUGCUUUAUUUAUGUUUUUGCAGCGGAGACUUCGGUCUUACUAGUUUACGUGGACUUCGACAAGUAGCUUGUACCUCAGCUACGAUCUUGAUCGGAUGUUGUAGAUAGUCAAGCUCCUCAGCCUUUUUCAUUUGUAGUUGUCUGUACUCAGACAUGUAAUGCUUCUGCUUGUUGCUUGUAUGCUCCGAAUGAUGGGUCAUGUGACCCUUGCUUGUACUUAAUGCUAUGUGGCUCUUUUGGGCCUUUAUCUAUAUGAGUUUGCGUUAUGUUGUGAUGCCAUGUUGUACAACACAUACUUGCAUGUUAUUCGUACGUGUAACGUGUAUUGCUAUGUGUGGGAUCCGACAAUCUGGUUGUUUAUCCUUGGCAGCCUCUCUUAUGGGGAAAUGUAGUCUAGUGCUUCCUUGAGCCAUAGUAGUCCGCUACAGCCCGGUUCACCGGAUCCUGCUAGCCCAGCACUAAUACUCAGGACACUUGACUGGCCGGCAUGUGUUUCAGUUCGUUCCUGUGUCUGUCCCUUCGGGGAAAUGUCACGCGGUGAAUUCUGGAGUCCUGUUAGCCCAGUGCUACAGCCCGGAUUCAUAUGUUGUUGACCGACAUGCUCGAUGUGAUUCAUGUAUGCCUGUCCCCAUAGGAUAGCACCGCUUUGGGUUCACGACUAGCCAUGUCGGCCCGGGUUCUUUGUCAUAUGGACGCUAGCGACACUAUCAUAUAUGUGAGCCAAAAGGCGCAAACGGUCCCGGGCCAGGUAAGGUGGCACCCGUGGGAAUACCGUGCGUGAGGCCGCAAAGUGAUAUGAUGUGUUACAUGCUAGAUCGGUGUGACUUAGGAUCGGGGUCCCGACAACUCAAGGGUGAGUCACUCCGUAGGUGUGGGGCGAGCUGCCACGGCAAGGGUCUUGCCGGGUUUGCUAAAACCGCCUCCCAGCAAGGAUCUUGCCGGGGGGGGUCCGCUUUGUCCCCUUUGCUCUUUAUGGUCUUGGUCUUGGCAUCAUUCUGCUUCUCCUGAGCUUCGGCCUUACCUUGGCUCACCUCCCUUGCCUUGCUCAGUGUGGUGGUGCCUGUGGCUCAGACUGUCCGUGCAUAGUUAUAGGGGUACAAAAAGUGUACCCCUCUUUUUGUACACCGACAGGAGCCCCCGGGCCUGGGCCACACGUAAGCGCAAUCGCAUCGUUGGGCUAGGCCCAAAAAUGGUGCGCGGGCAGGCGGGGCGGUGUUUACCGUGGUAAGUCUCUUCGCGCGCUGCGCUUCCCAUGCUUCCCGCGCGUGGCACGGCAUGGGGAGGCAUGUGUGACAUGGGAGGCAUGCGUGGGGCUGAGCUCUGCAUGCAUGCGUCACGUCAUAGUAAAGGGGGCGGUUCGCGCCUUCCCCAUAAACGGAGGGAGGCAUGGAGGCGCGGCCCAUUUACUGAACGGGGCCGAGGCGUGGUCUUCAAGGCGUCCACUCCCCACGAUCACGGGGUGGGGAGAGGUCGCCUCACCCGCUGCCUCGGUCCUGCACGCCUGCCACGUGGCUCUCAUGUGCUUGGGGUGGCGAACGGUGGAGGCGGGAAACUGGGCCGCCGCGGGCUGGGGCGGCGGGUCGGUCCCAGUUCCCUGCGCCUUCCGCGUCUUGAUUUGCUGAGCGGGGCGGCCGAGCCCCCACCCCGUUCCUUUAUAAAGAGCGGGAGGGGGAUGGCGUCCCGCAUUCAUUUCAUCUCCUCCUUCCUUCAGCUUAUGCUCCCCCCUUCCAUCCGCCAUGGAGAGAGGGAAUCCUGGUCCUUCAACGGUGGCGGUGAGGGUCGCCGCUCGAUAACGCGUCCCUCCUUCUCCUGCACCCGCGGUGGCAAAGCCAGCCACGAGGGGAAGGGGGAGGGGGCGAGGCCGUGGGCGAGGCCGAGGCGCUCGGGGAAGAGGAGGACGGGGCGGCGCGCCGGCCUCGCCUCCGCCAGCAGUUCCUCCUCCCAGGGAGGGCCACGCUGGGGAUGACCCUUGCGAGUUCUUCGUCAGGCUGCACCGGCCGCCUCGCCGUCGCCUUCGCCUCCCGACUCCAUUCGCGCGGAAGAUGGAGCUGGAUCUGCCGGAGUCGCUGCAGCUGCACAUGAGGGGAUGUGGGAUCAGCGGCACGCGGGUCCGCGUCGACUUCCCCGCCCCUCAUGUGAUGUAUCUUUGUCGGGGAUGGAACACGUUUGCUCAUAUCCACCGCUUGACAGAGGGGCUCACUCUCCAUUUUAAGCUGAUGGAUGGUGGCCUUCUCUCCAUCAAGGUCUUCAGGUGUUUUGGGACCCGUGCAAGGUGCUGCGUGGAGAACUCUUCUGAUAGUGAAGACUCCUCCGCGGGCGGGAGUGACAAGGAGGACAGCGGCAGCGACGACGAGGGUAGUAGGCGGCAGGAUGACGGGUCCGAUUAGGUGUCGGGCGCCGCUCUGUGCGGCACCGGCGACCCCAUCAUCCAUGUCGCCGGCUCCCUGAACUUCUCGGGGUCGUCUCCUUGGGCGGAUGGCGUUGGGAGGCUGCGGAAGAGGAAGAGGGCGGGCGGCAAGGCCGUCAAGUCGGAGUACGCAGGCACCGACUGCUUCGAUGCGUGCUGACGUCCUGCCGCCUCAUCUUCGAGCUCUGCUUCCGGUGCCGCCAUCACCAUCCAGCCUUUGGACGGCCACCAAGAUGUUCUCUUGGUGUCUUCUACCACCCGUAGCUCACCUAGGCGCUCCUUUUGUCUCUUUCGCCUCCUUGACCUGCCUCCUGAGGAGAGGGACAAGAAAGGGAUUACAGGCACCUUAUCUCUUUUUAGUUUGUAAGCCUUCGGGCCUUUGUUGAAUUUAAAACUUGUAAUCCCAUCAUUCAUGUUUUUCAUUCCCUAUGGACUGUACCUGAGUGGAAUGUUUUUAAUGAAAAAGGGAUGCUUGCCGGGUCAUUUGUUUGCGGGUGGAACCCACGACAAGGAUUAAAUCCUUGAUAUCUUCAAGAUAAACAUUUCCUUGCCCGGCAACAGGCCUUGCCGUCUCCCCACUUCGCUCGACCUUCCUCACGCCUUUGGCGGAGGCAGGGAUGAGGCGGGUUCUAGCUCCUUGUUUCAUCCUUUCGUUGUCGCGACUACGACCAAACUUGGCCCCAGGAACGAGCCCUAGGGCCUAGAGUUAUGGGAUCAUGGUAGCUUAGGGGAAAACGAGGUCUCACAUACCUCAGUCCAUAAUGGAAUGCAUGAUAAGGGAUGAAGAACUUAUCUGAAGAUGCAGCCCCCGGCAACCCUGGUUCGCCGUGGGUGAAUCUUUGCUCUUGCAGCCCCCGGCAAUGCUGGCUUGCCGGGGGCUAGAUGCUGGUCUGUUCAUCUUCUUUUCCUCCCCAAGUGGUUUAGCACAGAUAUCCGUGUGUCCUGUGAACCAAAUAAGAAAAAAGAAAGACAAAGAGAUGCACACUCGACCUCUAAGCUAGGGGUUAGUCGCCGCUAAGCACUAUCAACCCUAACCAAGGACGAGACUGGACCUAGCAUGCAUGCUAUAACUUAGGGCGCCAGCGCUUCAUUUAUCUAUGCUUAGGGUCUGCGACUGGCUUUGUACAAAGGGUUACACGCCUCAUCGGCAAUGCUUGUACAAAAGGUGGCUUGCCGGGGGGCCCGGCAAGCCGCGCCUCACGGGUAAAACUUGCAAAGAUGCUCAAUGUUCCAGUAGUUACUCACCGGAAUGGCAUCUUCGGUCUCUAGGCGGACUGCGCCGGCCCUGGUGACUCGUAUUACGUGAUAAGGGCCUUCCCACUUUGGCAUCAACUUGUUGGAAUUCUUGGAUGAUUGAACGCGCCGAAGGACAAGGUCGCCUUCCUCAAGGCUUCGGGCAUGAACCUUGCGACUAUGGUAGCAGCGCAAGGCUUGCUGGUAGCGUGCUGCUCUCACAGCCGCCCGAAGACGAUCUUCCUCAAGGAGCAUUGCGUCAUCUUGCCGCAGUUGCUCUUGCUCAAGCUCAUCAUAAGCGAGCACUCGAGGUGACCCAUAUAUGAAUUCAAUGGGGAGAACUGCUUCUGCCCCGUAUACUAGGGCAAAGGGUGUCUGGCUGGUGGCUCGAUUUGGCGUCGUCCUGAUCGACCAAAGAACCGUCGGCAACUCAUCAAUCCAGCGCCUUCCACUCUUGUGCAGCCUGUCAAAGGUCUUGGUCCUUAAGCCUCGCAGUACUUCAGCAUUUUCCCUCUCAGCUUGACCAUUGCUUCGUGGGUGAGCAAUGGAAGCAAAACAGACUUUGCUGCCGAGGUCUUGGAUAUAUUGCAUGAAGGUGCGGCUUGUGAACUGUGUGCCGUUGUCGGUGAUGACCCUGUUGGGUACACCAAAACGGCACACUAGUCCCUUGAAGAACUUGACGACUGACUGAGCUGUGACCUUCCUCACUGCCUCCACCUCCGGCCACUUUGUGAACUUGUCGAUUGCAACGUACAAGUACUCAAAGCCCCUGAUAGCGCGGGGGAAAGGGCCCAGUAUGUCGAGCCCCCAGAUCGAGAAGGGCCAGGAGAGAGGAAUGGUUUGAAGGGCUUGAGCUGGCUAAUGAAGCUUCUUUGAAUGGAACUGACACGCUUCACACCUGGUGACUAGUGUCGUCGCAUCCUGGAGGGCGGUGGGCCAGAAGAAGCCUUGCCCAAAUGCUUUGCCGGAAAGGGCCCUUGACCCGAUGUGGGAUCCACAUAUGCCUCCAUGUAUCUCCGCCAACAGCUCCAGUCCUUCCUCCCGAGGGAUACACUUCAAUUUCACACCGUUCGGCCUCUUUCUGUACAGGACUUCAUCGACGAACUGGUACAUGGUAGAGUGACGGGCUACUUUUUCCGCUUCUUCCUGCUCUUCAGGAAGUUCCCCUGUUUGGAGGAAUCGAUGGUAUCCUGUGCCCACAUUGGAGCCUGGGGCUCGACGGCGAGGACUAAAGGCAUUUCCUCCGCUAUGGGAGCGGCUGUCUCGACGGCAAGAGCUUGACGCUCCGCCGGAGCUAGCCGUCCCGUGGCGGGUUCAGUGUCCCCGGCAACAUCCUUGCCGGCGGCUCCAGGGAGCUUGGCGGGAAAGUACUUGCCGGGUCCUGAUUUCCUCCUCUUGUUCUGCUCUGUUGAUGGAUCAACGGAUGGUUGAGUUAGCUGGAGCACAAAGGUACCUGGUUCCACAGGUAGCUUGAGGGCAGCGUGUUUUGACAGGUAAUCGGCGAUAUCAUUCUCCGCUCGGGGAACAUAUUCAGCCUGUAUACCGUCGAAACGCUCUUCCAGCUUUCUCACUUCAUCGACGUAGGCCUUCAUAAACGGUCUCUAGUAGUCCUUGUUGACUUGCUUGACGACGAGCUGCGAGUCGCCCCUGACGAUGAGCUUCUUGAUUCCAAGGUCCGCCGCGAUCCUAAGACUAGCAAGCAGCCCUUCGUACUCUGCCGUAUUGUUUGUUGACACCUCCCAGGGAAGUGCAUCUGGAUCACGUACUUGAGGUGCUCUCCGGUGGGCGCGACAAGCAGUACGCCAGCCCCGGCGCCGUGUAAGGAGAAAGCUACAUCAAAGUACAUGAUCCAACUACAACUUGCCUCCUUGCCGGGGAGAGCAAUCUCUUGGUCUUCUUCGUCAGGCGUUGCGGUCCAUUCUGCAAUGAACUCCGCCAGGACUCGGCUCUGAAUCGUCGAAGUACUUUCAAACUUGAGGCCAAAGCUGGACAGCUCCAGUGCCCAUUCCACAAUUCUUCUCGUUGCAUCUGGAUUGUGCAAUAUCCAUUGUAGAGGGAGGCGAGUGACGACAGUGAUCUCGUGUGCCUGGAAGUAGUGAUGCAGCUUCCUCGAGGCCAUAAGAAGGCCGAAGAGCAGUUUCUGCAUGCCGGAGUACCUUGAUCUAGCUCCCUGCAGGAGGGAACUAACAAAGUAGACCGGGUGCUGCAUCAUUUUGUUCUUCGGCGGCACUUCAACUGGCAGUGUCGUCUCUGCAUUGGUGGCGUCGGGCUCUGUCGCUGCCAUUACCUCGUCGUCAACCUCUCUCUGCGCCACUAGUGCAGCGCUGACCACCUGGUUCAUUGCCGCCAGGUAUAGCAGCAACUGGCUCCUGUGGCCUAGGCGCAACUAGUAUUGGCACGGAGGAGAGGUACUUUUUCAAAUCUUGCAAUGCUGCUUCGGCUUCUGGCGUCCACUCCAUCGGGCCCGCCUUUUUCAGGAUCUUAAAAAAGGGAAGGGCGCGCUCGACAGACUUGGAAAUGAAUCUGCCCAUGGCGGCGACGCAACCAGCAAGCUGAUGCACAUCCUUGAUUCGCUUGGAUGCUUCAAUCUGCUCUAUAGCUUUCAUCUUAUCCGGAUUGGCCUCUAUCCCACGUAGUGAUACAAAGAACCCGAGAAGCUUGCCGGACGGGACGCCAAAGACGCACUUCUCAGGGUUCAGCUUGAGAUUGAUCUUGCGCAGGUUUGCAAAUGUUUCUUGCAAAUCCGGUAUGAGGGUUGCCCUGUCCUUGGUUUUGACCACUAUGUCAUCCAUAUAAGCUUCCAUAUUUCUUUGGAGCUGGGGUUCAAAACCAAUCUGGACCGCCCUUGCAAACGUCGAACCAGCACUCUUCAGCCCAAAAGGCAUCCGCAUGAAACAAUACGUACCACAUGGGGUGAUGAAUGCUGUUUUCUCUUCGUCUUCUCUUGUCAUGAAGAUCUAGUGGUAGCCGGAGUAGGCAUCGAGGAAUGACAACAGAUCACACCCAGCUGUGGAGUCGACAAUCUGGUCGAUGCGCGGCAACGGGAAGGGGUCCUUAGGACAAGACUUAUUGAUAUCUGUGUAAUCAAUACAUAGCCUCCACUUCCCAUUAGCCUUGCGCACUACGACCGGAUUGGCCAACCACGUUGGAUGGAGCACUCCUCUUACCAAACCCGUUGCUACCAGUUUCCGGAUCUCCUCUGUGAUGAACUCUUGUCGUUCCAAAGCUUUAUUUUUGACCUUCUGCUUGACGGGCCGCGCAUGAGGACAGACAGCAAGGUGGUGCUCAAUCACCUCCCUGGGAACGCCGGGGAUGUCGGAAGCUUGCCAUGCAAACACAUCGACAUUCGCCCGCAGGAAGGUGAUGAGCGCGUCUUGCUAUUUGUCGUCAAGGGUGGAGCUUAUGGUGAAUGCCCCUCCCGUGUCGUCCUCAUUGACAGAAACCUUCUUGGUUCCCAGCGGUAUGGCCCUGGGCUUCUUGUUUCCGCCGGUGGAGCUCUCUGGCACGUCCUCGACGGGAGCGCUACACUCCGAAGAGGUGUGUUUGCCAGAGUGGGUGUCCGAGGUCCCACCGGUCUUCUUCUUCUUCUUCCCUCCCGGGGUCCCAGCGGCAGGAGCAAGUGCCCUAGUGGCGGCAGCUGCUGCAACUGCUUGCUGGUAUAGUUGGUCAGCGCAAAUCAGCGCAUCUUUCUUAUCGGAGGGGAUGGUAAUGAUCGUCACAGGUCCUGGCAUCUUCAGGGUGUUGUAGGCGUAGUGUGACACUGCCAUGAACUUGGCCAGCGCUGGGCGGCCAAGGAUCCCGUUGUAAGGCAAAGGGAUCUUGGCAACAUCAAACACAAUCCUCUCCAUCCUGUAGUUUAGAUUGCUUCCAAAAGUCAUGGGCAGCGUGACCUUUCCCUUAGGUUGGCUUCUUCCCGGGUUGACCACCUGAAACGUGCCCGUCUCUUCGAGGUCUCCAUCAGGAAUCUGCAGUUUCUCGAUCACGGCAGGCGAGAUCAAGUUCAGACCGGCCCCGCCAUCGACUAGCAUCUUUGUCACCUUGAGGUUGCGUAUUGUUGGUGAAACCAACAAUGGCAAGCACCCGACUGCAGUAGUGCGAUCAGGGUGAUCCUCAGUGUAAAAAAUGAUACGUGUGCUGGACCACUUCAGCGGCCUUUGGGCAUCAAACGACGGCUCUGCUGCUGUAAUCUCUCGCGCCCACUGUUUAAGCUGGCGGUGAGAAGUAUGCAGCGAGGCGCCGCCGUCGAUGCACAUGGCCUCUGUAGCUUUCUGAAACUCUUGGUCAUCGGAUUCGUCGUCCUCUUCGUGAUCGUCGUCUUCUAGCUUUUUGUCACGGCCCCGGGUGGGCCUCUCCUGUUGUUUAUCCUUGCCGCGACGGCCCGCCUGGCCGUCACGCUUCUUGCCGGACCCCUUAGCACCAUCUUGGCCCUUCUCCUUGUCCCGCCUCUCAUAUUCAGCACUCUGCUUCUCAGCGAGGAGCUCAACCUGUCGGCAGUCUUGGAGAGCAUGGCCUUUGGUGCGAUGGAUCUUGCAGUAUCGCUUAUUGGAGUUUCCUGGCUUCUCGGCAACCGCCAAGACCCGGGGCGACAUAUCCGGCAAUUUCCUUACCGGGGUCAUCUGCCUUGGUUUUCUUGGUGGAGCCGGUGUCACCAGAUCCCUCGACAGCAAGCACGGCUUUACCUUUGCGCUUCCUAUUGCGGCGCCGGCCCUUCUUCGCUGGGGCGGCAGUAUCUUCAUCUGAGGAGUCGGUUUCCACGCCGGCGUCUUCGCUGGGGUACUUCCUUCCCUCUUCAGCCCGGGCACAUCUGUCAGCAAGAACAUAGAGUUCUGCUACAUCUUUCACCUUGUUCAUUGCCAGCUCUGCGCGCAUCUUGCGGUUACGCACGUUCUGAUGGAACACGCUGAUGAUGGCGGUAGGGUGAACAUCUGGGAUAUUGUACUGUAUCCGGCUGAACCUCUGUCUAUACUUGCGGAGACUCUCGCCUCCCUUCUGAGGAAUGACGUGCAGGUCGCUCGCUUGGCCAUGGGCUUGGUGGCCUCCAAUAAAGGUGCCCACAAACUCAUGGCACAAAUCCGACCAGGAGGAAAUAGAGUCUACCGGCAAGUGCAUCAACCAUGACAUGGCGUUGGGUUUAAGAACCAACGGAAAGUAAUUCGCAAGCACCUUAUCGUCGCGGGCUCCAGCAGCUUGCAUCCCAAUGGUGUAGAUGCUGAGGAACUCAGACGGGUGGGUCUUGCCGCUGUACUUUUCGCCCAUGUCAGGUUUGAAGGUGCGGUGAGUGAGCCACUGGAACUGCCGCAGCUCACGGGUAAAAGCCGGACAGCCUACCUCGUAAGGUAGGCCUCCAGGGCUCUCCCGUGCCGGGUGGUUCACAGCAGGCCCUGCUCGCCUGUCUGACUGGUGGCGCGCUCGAGCGUCUUCAUGUUCUCGUUCCCGAAGGACUUGGCGCUGGUCACAGUGGGUCCGCGGAUCGGACGACACUAUGGAGAUUUCAUCGCACGUAACAUCGCAACGGGCUGGCGUCCGCGGUACCGAGCAAGGAGGAGGCGAGUGCACCGUGGUCGCGGCGCUGCCGGCUUUCCUGCCACUGGUGCGUGGGACUCGGUCGAAGCGUCGACCCGGGGGCUCCACCGGACUCGGUUUGUCUUUGUUGGCCACCGCAACAAGGCUUCGGAUAGUGGCUCUCCAUUCGUCGAGUUUCCCCGUAGUGGGAGGAAAAUUGAGGAGCAACUGCGCGCGUGCCAGGGCUUUUGCUGGCGUAGGUGGCAGCGAAACCUGCACGGAUCGCGAUGCGCUUCGACUUCCGACCAUGUCAGAAGGAGCUCUAUCACGACCCCGUGGUCGCAUGCCAUCUUCACCAGCGGCUCGGCGAGCGGGCAGGUCUUCUACCUCCCGGGAGUGGUGCUCGGGGCUCUUCCCGCGGCGACGCCCGGGGUCUUCGGCGUGAUUACGCCGUUCGUCGUGCGCCGCUUGAGAGGAGCGCGCCGUCGGCGCCGGCGUGGGAGUCUUGGAGGCCCUCGCAUCGCCUUCGGGCGGGGUGGCAGCGAUCUUGGAAGGCCCCGCGCCACCCGCGGAGGGCCUGGCUCCGUCUUUGGAUUUGGCGGCGUGCGGCCCGUUACCAGGCACACGAACAUCGCCGCCUCCCAAACUCCGGCUGCUGGGACGGUGUUGGUGUUCACGAACGAUGCCCCGGGUCCUUUCUGCGACCGGUCCGCUGCUCGCCCGCGUCGGGACGGGAUGUCCGGCUUCCGACGGGCCAACCACCACCGUCGUCUUCUUCUUGGGUGCCAUGAUGAUGAAGAAGCAUCGAACUAACUGCUAAAGCCGAUUCUCACAACUGCGCCCCCUACCUGGCGCGCCAAAGAUGUCGGUGGGAACGACACCUAUGGGAUCACAAGAAUCCCUACUACGGUUGUGGGGCGUGGGGUUGUGAGAAGAGCGGAUCAAACAGAUAGCACACGGUUCGUUUAUCCAGGUUCGGGCCGCGAGGAUGCGUAAAACCCUACUCCUGCUUUGGUGGAUUGUAUAUCUGUGUUCUUGAGCUAGCUAUGGGGCGUGAGGAGCUCCAAAAAGCCGAAUCCUCCUCUUGGUCGCCUCGGGCCUCCUUUUAUAGGAAAGGGGUUGCCACAGUGGCACACAGGAGGUGCAAAGGGUACAGUGAUGUGAGGUUAUCCCUUGCAUUACAUGACAAGGCACAUUUAAUGUGUCUUGCCCAGGUGUCCUUGCUUUAUCGGGGAUGGGGGAGAGCCCUGUCUCGUCCGUCGCUGCUCCCUCUCGAGUCGACACGCGCCCUGGCCAGCGGCGCCCGCGGUGCCAUGUACGCAGGCAGGCAGCUGAGGUGGCGCAGUGGUGGGUCUCCACGAAGAUCCGCAUGCCGCCACGCAGGUUCUUGCCCAGCUGGUUGGGUCGGCAGCUGCAUGCGAACGGCGGUGGAGGUUUGACUAGCGUCGGCCUGAUGGUGGCCCUACGGGUGUUCUUGGCAAGGGCCUUGCCAGAGCCCCGGCAAAGGUCUUGCCGUGGCACCUGCUCUCAUCCCCGGCAAGGCUCUUGCCGGGGGCCUUGUGGUCCUCCUUGGCCGGGAUCCCGCCAAGGAUCAUCAUCUUCUAAAGGGUGUAUCUGAUCUUGAAUGUCUUCACAAAGAUCCGCAUGCCACCACGGGGAUGUCUCCCGAAUCCUUGCCCCAUGGGGGCAGUGGACUCAAGGGUGACUCACUCCGUAGGUGUGGGGCGAGCUGCCACGACAAGGGUCUUGCCGGGUUUGCUAAAACCGCCUCCCGGCAAGGAUCUUGCCGGGGGGUCCGCUUCGCCCUCUUUGUUCUUUGUGGUCUUGGUCUUGGCGUCGUUCUGCUUCUCCUGAGCUUCGGCCUUACCUUGGCUCACCUCCCUUGCCUUGCUUAGUGUGGUGGUGCCCGUGGCUCAGACUGUCCGUGCACAAUUAUAGGGGAAAUAUUGUUGUGUGAAGAUGAUAUUUGUUUAGUCCGAAGACAUGUGUUGUUCUUACUUACUUUGUUGAUCGGUAGAGUUUGUACUGUUGCAUUGUGACACUCAUUUCUAUGUAUGAGAACUAGUUAAAUAUAUUAAUAAUGUACUGCACUUGCUAAUUAGUGUCCAGUUUACUGUAGACUGUUGCUCAAGUACUUGUGAUAUAUGAAUAUGUGCGUGUGAAUGUGAUGUGAAACAUUUCUAUUCUGUCCUAUAAUUUUGUUUCUUCCCUCUUUUGCAUGUCAAUAGUUAAAAGUGUUCAUGUCCUGUUGAUUCCCUUUCGUCAUUGGUGUUUGUCUGUGUUAGUGUUUUAAUUUCUUAAGCCUAAUAAAAAUAGCAAAAAGAUAGUGAGUAUGUUCUGUAUCUUCCUUUUCUGUUUGUAUUUCCUUUUUUGACGAUCUUUGGGAACAACCUUGUUUAGUUUAGGUUUAUUUUCUUGCAUUCAUAAUAGGAAUUGUGUUACCUAGAUUUAGCCGAGCAUAGUUGUCAUCGCCUAGUCCCUGUGGGGAACACGACACUCGCGAUUUGGGCGAAAUAUCCCACCGCACCUACAAAUGAUCAUUUUGGCGCCGUUGCCGGGGACUAGCAUCGAGCGAUUGUGUUAGGCUAUAGACUAGGUUUUUCUUCUUUUUCUAGUUUGUGCCAUAUAUUUGUGAUAUAUCUCUAACCACUAACCCCUGUUCUAGUUAGUAUCUUUUUGUUUUGUUUUCCUUUUGCAGGUUAGAGCUAUCUACUCGGUUAUGGCAUAUUAUUCAGAUUGUCUCGGAGAUGCGAGGAACACUACAAACAACACGGAAACUAUUCAAGAACUGAUAAGUAAGAUUUCCCAUCGAUUAGAUGAUUUAGCUCGGCAACGAAAAGUAGUUUUUGAGGAUAGGGCUAGCUCUUAUGAUCCUUAUUCUAGAGGUCAUCCUUAUGUUGCUCCUACAUGCCAUAUUUGUGGAUUUCAGGGCCAUUCACCCGCUAAAUGUCAGCGUGGUUACUCUCACUCUCCUGAUUGUUAUGGCAUGAGCUUCGCCCCAUAGUCUAGCUCAUACCAAAACAAUUACUCAUAUGGGUGGCCUGAAAACCAGAAUAUGUCAUAUAGGAGCAACAACCCUGAGAUCUCACCGCUUGCUUCUAGUAAUCAUAUGCAGGGAAUUAGGUACAAUGAGGAGAGCAACAACUAUGCUCCACAACAGAUUUAUUCACCUCCUACUCAUAUACCGCAGCACCAGGAGAUGUGUCCAAUGGAGUUAAAUGGUCCUCCACUUGGUCAACCAACAACUCCUACACCUGUUGUGCAAUCUCAUGUGCAAGUGCCCACACAAGAUGAGUUCGAUGACAUAGACAAGCUCACACUUUUGAGUCUUGAGUUCACUUGGAGUUCCGAGGAUGAUCCUAUUAGGAAGGUGAUACUUGAGGAAAUGAGGAAGAUUAAGAGUGGAAAGGAGCUAGUGGAAGAAGUAAGGAAGAUUGAGAAGAACAUCAACGCUGGAAGUACUAUCUCUUCCCUCCUUGAGCUGAGUGUUCCGGGAUAUCCCUUGAGGCAUGUGAGGUUCCAAUACCAUCACAUCUAGCUGAGCAAGAUAGCAAGUACCUUGAGCAAGAGAUACCUCAGAUUGAAGAAGAUGAACUAGAAGACAAGGAACAAGAUGAUCAAGAGCUGCAAUUCCCAAGUGAUCAAGUUGAAGACUCAUCAUCUACUACUCCUGAAGAAGUACAAGAAGCUGCUGUAGAUGAAGAUGAAGAACCUGAGAUUCAUUGGCCUACUGUCAUAAAUGAGCAUGAUGUGUCAGGUUUACCCAAUCUUCUUGAUGACAUGAGUCCGUAUGAUUUAUUUGCUUCUACCUUGCAUUACAUGAUGCCAUCACUUAAGAUUGAUUUGAAAAAUCAUUUGCUUGGAUAUGAUGAUACAUACACUGUUGGUGGCAUUGCUCAUUCAUGAUGAUCACAAUUACUUUCCUCGUGCUAGCCCUAUGCUUAAUGAAACAUAUCAUUCCCAUGCUAGUCUUGAGCUUAAUGAUAAAUAUCAUCCUCAUGUUAGUGUUGACUUUGCUGAUUUCUACCAUCCUAAACAUGUGCUUUAUAGCUAUGCUUAUGUAAUUGGAUACUCGAUUGAUGACUUGAAGGGUAUUAUCCCUACUGCUUGCAUUGUCUCUUUUGUGGAGUGUUCUUUCAGGUUUUUGCUUGUGCACGAAUCAAUACAUGCUGACCAGCUUUGAGGUGACAUUCCAUGGGACCCCGGUGGAUUCACGGCAUGGUGAUGAGGAGAAGCAAGGAGCACACACGACGAAGAGUGAAGCUGGAGCAGGCAUGAGGAUAGAGAAGCAAAGGAGAAGAGCUGCAGCUUAGAGAGUGAUCAAGCAAGUGCUACUUCAUAGUGUCCGGUGAGCUGUUUCAUGACCCAUUCUGAACAUCAUAAAUACAUGCUGAAUUCAAUUGCUAGUUGGGUUGCUUGAGCCAGUUAUUACUUGUUGUCAAGCUGAAAUUCACCUUUGGCAUAGUUCUAGAUGUAAAUUUAUGAACUUGAUUUCUGAAUGCCUUGUAAACUAGUGAUCUACACCAUGCGUGCUUUGCUGAAAUUAGUGAGAACUAUUAGUUUUGAGUGCUCAAAUCCCUAGUACACGAGAAAACUUCGUCAUUUUCUGCAUUUACUAUGAUACACCUAGAUCACCAUGUUUAGAUGUUGAAUUUGUUCUAAGUGUGUUCCCAUUGAGAGCAAUCACCUAACCACUAUGGAUUAGCAUGCUAUGUUCCCUGGAUCGGUAGCAUGUGAACUAGACAUGGAGAAGUGAGGAUUCCUGUUUUUGUGCUUAUGUGUUGUUCAUUAAAAAAGGUAUUUCUUAUAAUGAAUAAUAAUCUGAUCUUACCUAACAGUAGCAUGUCAUGUUCCCUGGAUCGGUGGCUUGUGAAAUCUAGUUGGAUCGGAUAGGAGUUAAUUAUAUUAUAAAAAAUUGUAAUUGUCGAACCAGGUGUAUACCAUGUUCUCGGGAUCGGUGGUAUGUUCCUUUGGGGAGACAAACAAAAAAACUAUACCAUGUUCUCGGGAUCGGUGGUAUGUUCCUUUGGUGAGACCGAUAAAAUAUUAUAAUUACUUCCUUCAAAUUCAAUAAGUGCUUCAACCAUAAUGCUAUGUUCCUGGUAAUAAGUUAUUUUUUGGGAUCAUGCUCUCUUUAGGAAUCCUUUGGCACAAGCAGCAUUUGAACUUGUUGAUCUACUUUUAUCAUUGUAAAGGUUUAAAAUAAUUGAGUCUACUAGUAUCCUAUUGCUUUGUAGCACUCUUAACCAUUGAUUUUGAUUAGCUAAGUCCAAAGCAUGCUUUGUUUGGAGAUCUACUUCACUGAGACAUUCUCCAGUCAGCUCACUGUUCAUUAUCUAGCUCUUGUCAUAUUCCUUUGCUUGAGGACAAGCAAAAGUUUAAGUGUGGGGGAACUUGAUAAGCACAUUUCUUAUAUACAAUUUGGGCACACAAAUUCACCAUUUAUUGAAAUAUAUCCAUCCAUUCUUGCUACGACUUGUUGAAUAUUCGAAUGAUAAUCAUAAAAGAGAAUGUUGACUAGUGAAUGUUUAUUUUGUAGAAAAGUGCGCAAAGGCACUAUAAUCGUCAAGACUUCUACUAUGUGGCUAACGAGAAGAGAGAAGGUUAUGAAAGAAAUGCGUCAAGGCCUGAGCGUGAAGGAAAGAAGUAAUGUAGGGGAGCAAACUAAAAGAAGAGGAGGAUCUUCUUGGGCAGAAAUGAAGAGAAGAGGAGGGCUAAUGUGCAAAUGUGGCAGAUUAGAGAGGGGAAUGAAAUCCCUAGCCGCACCUCAUUGCAAAUCGGGCCUGGCAUCUCUCUUCCUCUCCCUCACCCCUUCCUCUCCACCACCGGCCGCCGCCGCGGCGAGGCCAGUGUAGCGGUGCGCCACCCAGCCAUCCAUCCAUUCCAUCUCCACCACGCACCGUGCACCACCAGCACCAUCUCCUUCUCCUCCCCGAAUCCAUCCAUCUAUCCAUCCACCAUGCCAUCACAUCACCAGCACCCCUCACCACCAGCGCCAUUACUCCACUUCCUCCACUUCCCUUCUUUUCUGAACCUCAACUCCUUCUGCUGCUGCUCCCUCUCUCAACGCCUCCUGCUGCUGCUCCUUUCUUCUUUCACCGCUCCCUGCCGCCCUUCUACUCUUCCUGCUGAUGCUCUUCUUGCGACCCUACUGCUGCUACUUCUUCCCUUACCUUGUUGUUGUUCUUCUCUUUCUCUAUGUACCUUGCUGAUGUCCCAUCUCUCCUAGCGCUACUGCUGCACUUCUUCUAAAGCCCUCUCCUCACACCCGCUGCUGCUUCUUUUCUCCCCACACCUCUUGCUGCUGCUCCUAGUAUUUAUGAACCACAAAUCUGCCGUUCUUCUCCACCAAACCAAACCUGCUAUUGUUCUAUUUGUGUGCGUGUGUUUGUGUGAUUCAUAAAGAAAUAUUGUUGUGUGAAGAUGAUAUUUGUUCAGUCCGAAGACAUGUGUUGUUCUUACUUACUUUGUUGAUCAGUAGAGUUUGUACUAUUGCAUUGUGACACUCAUUUCUAUGUAUGAGAACUAGUUAAAUAGAUUAAUAAUGUACUGCACUUGCUAAUUAUUUUCCAGUUUACUAUAGACUGUUGCUCAAGUACUUGUGAUAUAUGAAUAUGUGCCUGUGAAUGUGAUGUGAAACAUUUCUAUUCUAUCCUAUAAUUUUGUUUCUUCUCUCUUUUGCAUGUCAAUAGUUAAAAGUGUUCAUGUCCUAUUGAUUCCCUUUCGUCAUUGAUGUUUGUCUGUGUUAGUGUUUUAAUUUCUCAAGCCUAAUAAAAAUAGCAAAAAGAUAGUGAGUAUGUUCUGU